This is a long non-coding RNA of Mus musculus (house mouse), 1065 nucleotides long. RefSeq annotates it as predicted gene, 39815. The record is from RefSeq and is a predicted model, not a curated record. The transcript has 3 exons. NCBI's taxonomy places the organism in Eukaryota, Metazoa, Chordata, Mammalia, Rodentia, Muridae.
GUAGUGAAAUUGUACAGUGUAAAAUGUAGUGCCGUGGCCAUUUCAAGUGUGCAAUUUGGGAGAGUUUAGUACGUUCACACUGUCUUGCAACCAAUCUCCAGAACUUUCUUUAUCCAGCAAAAUCAAACACUGUUGCCCCUAAACAGCACACCUCCACAUUUCUCCCAAUGCUAAUUCUACUUCCUGUGGCCAUCAGUGGACUGUCCCAGAUUCCUUAUACAAAUGGAACCAUAUAGCAUUUGCCUUUUUGUAGGUGACUUAAUGUGCCUAACAACCAUCCACGAGAAGCAUAGAUUGUAAAGGUUUUUCUUCUUUUUUCAAAGGCUAAAUAAUGUUCAUCCAGUCCUCAUUGGUCUUUUGGUUUGUCCUGCAUCGUGACAAUUGUAAGGAAUGUCUCUGUGAGCACAGGGACAGGAAAAGACCAAGCCCUGUGGUUUGAGGAUGAGUAAACCCAUGGUAAUAUGAGCAAAACAAGCUAGUAUAUAUUCCACAACGGAAGACAGCAAUUACGGCUGCAGAAGGGAUCAUGUCUGGAAAGAGAUGCAAAAAACGGCAAGGAAAACAACACACACAGGGUCUGGCAUGAUGGUUUGUGACUGUCUCCCCAGGAGUUUGGAUGCUAAGGCCGGAGAAUCACCCCCAAGUUGAAGGCUAGCCUUGGCUACAUGGUGAGUUCCAGGAAAAUCUGGGCUACAGAAUGAGACCCUAUCUCAACUCCCUAAGCAAUUACACAUGUGAUGUCCUUGCAUGUAUACUGAAUAUUGCAAUAGAGUGCUCAGUGGAGCAUAGCACUCAUUUGUUUGUUUAAUUCAUAUUUACCGCUGACUCUAGUGAAAAGUGCACAAUUCCAGACAGUUAUCAAAAGAAAUAAGAAGUCAGAGGUUUCUAUUCUCAUUUGUAGCUUAGUAUAUGGAUACACAAAACAUAAACACCUCACAGUAAAAGGUAAUUUAUUCUAUUUUGUUUUUUUUUUUUAAUGUAUGGGGAGCACUGUGGAUGUAGAAACCAGAGAGCGAUAAUGGGUGAAUUCUUCAAUGGCUCUUCCCUUUGUAUAUUGAGGCAGAG